GUCUACAGACAUACCAUCCUUAACACACUGCUUUUGUCUGAUCUUGAAAACUAAGCAGGAUCGGGCCUGGUUAGUAUUUGGAUAGGAGAUGUAGACA
Cercocebus atys (sooty mangabey) is the source of this 97-nucleotide ribosomal RNA. Lineage: Eukaryota; Metazoa; Chordata; Mammalia; Primates; Cercopithecidae. The record is from Ensembl.